Molecule: transfer RNA, 71 nt
Filed under: Bavayia robusta
Lineage: Eukaryota; Metazoa; Chordata; Lepidosauria; Squamata; Diplodactylidae
Description: tRNA-Tyr
Source: RNAcentral
GGUAGAGUGGCCGUAAAGUUAGGUGGCAUGCUGUACUCCUGCAAACAUGGGUUYAAGUCCUGUUUCUAUCW